CCUACGGGGGGCAGCAGUGAGGAAUAUUGGUCAAUGGACGAGAGUCUGGCGCAGCGACGCCGCGUGAGGGAUGAAGGUCUUCGGAUCGUAAACCUCUGUCAGCAGGGAAGAACGGUCACUGUGCUAAUCAGCAGUGAAUUGACGGUACCUGCAAAGGAAGCACCGGCUAACUCCGUGCCAGCCGCCGCGGUAAUACGGAGGGUGCGAGCGUUAAUCGGAAUUACUGGGCGUAAAGCGCUCGUAGGCGGUAUGUCAAGUCAAGGGUGAAAUCCCCGCGCUCAACGUGGGAACUGCCUUUGAAACUGGCAAACUGGAGUGUGUGAGAGGAUAGUGGAAUUCCAGGUGUAGGAGUGAAAUCCGUAGAUAUCUGGAGGAACAUCAGUGGCGAAGGCGACUAUCUGGCACAUAACUGACGCUGAGGAGCGAAAGCGUGGGUAGCAAACAGGAUUAGAUACCCGUGUAGUC
This 465-nucleotide ribosomal RNA is filed under the name uncultured bacterium. RNAcentral describes it as "partial 16S ribosomal RNA". It matches the Rfam family "Bacterial small subunit ribosomal RNA", at positions 338 to 795 of the family's 1533-position model. The record is from RNAcentral.